CGGGUGAGUAACGCGUGAGGAACCUGCCUCAAAGAGGGGGACAACAGUUGGAAACGACUGCUAAUACCGCGUAAGCCCACGGCUCGGCAUCGAGCAGAGGGAAAAGGAGCAAUCCGCUUUGAGAUGGCCUCGCGUCUGAUUAGCUAGUUGGUGAGGUAAUGGCCCACCAAGGCGGCGAUCGGUAGCCGGACUGAGAGGUUGAACGGCCACAUUGGGACUGAGACACGGCCCAG
Molecule: ribosomal RNA, 233 nt
Filed under: uncultured bacterium
Lineage: Bacteria
Description: partial 16S ribosomal RNA
Rfam family: Bacterial small subunit ribosomal RNA
Source: RNAcentral